UCUGGGUUGGGCCAUUCCAGCCAUUGCAGCAAUGAGUUUGACACGUCCUGUCUAGGUGAUAGAUUUCAAGGUCCUGAAAUGGGCUGGUAGCAUUAAGAGCAGGAAAAGGAGAAUGGUUUCAAAAUACAUUAAUCAAACCUAUAGGACUUGACGCUUUGGGGCACGGAUGAGAAGGAGAAACAAAGAUAUUCAGUUUAUUCUGAUACUUUAAAUCAAGGCAAAGGGGAAGAUUGGAGUGCCAUCAACUGGGGGUGGGGAGAGAAAUUAAGAGGAGUAAGUUAUAGGGUUGGAAAUGAUGAGUUCAGUUUGAAACAUACAGUAUUUGAGGUGUAAGGGCAAUCCCCAAGUAGAAAUAGUCAAGCAGGCAGUUAGAAAUUUGGGACUGGAGCCCAGAUGAGAGGUUAGGGCCUCAGCUACAGAUUUGAGAGUCAUUUACAUUGAAGUGAUAAUUGAAGCCAUGGGAGUGGAUGAGAUCACCAGAAAAAAGAGAGAGGGAGAAAAAAAGUUGCUUUACCAAUUAUAUUCAGUGAAAUACCGAAAAGGGUGUAACCCAGGCUAAAGUAGGGGAAAGUAGGGACAAGGCUGUCAGGCAUAUAAAGAUGUAGCCAUAAAAUAAGUGUGUUUAGGGCUUCCAUAUUGGAGGCCCCUGAAUUACCCAGAGAUAUGUGCUUUGAUCAUUUACAGCUGCCUCCACCAAAGCCCUACUCUAAAGCUUUACUAUAUAUAUAUAUAUAUAUAUAUAUAUAUAUAUAUAUAUAUAUAUAUAUAGAGAGAGAGAGAGAGAGAGAGAGAGAGAGAGAGAGAGAGAGAGAGAGAGAGAGACACAGAGACAGAGACAGAGAGUCAAAGACAGGGAGAAAUAGAGAGAGAAAUAAAGAAACAUUACUGAAAAUGUAAAUAGAAAUACAACUCCUGGAAUACACACAAAUAAUUAUGUGUGUAUUACAUUAAUACAAGGUAGUUUUGUGCAAGUAUGCACUAAUAGGUUGGGGGAAGGAGGUGAGAAUCAGGAAAGGUUUCAUCUAAGAAUCAGAGGAGAUGAGGGAGAGCAUUCCAAGCAGGGAAAUUGUCAACACACAAACCAAAGGGAGGAAAUAUAGUACAGUGUGUGCAGAACAGCAAGAUGGCCAGAAUGCCAAGAUCACAGAAUGCACAAAGGGCAGCAAUGUGUACGAAGUCUGGAAAAGGAGGAAAGGUCCAGGUUAUAAAGCAAUUGAAAUGCCAAACAAAGAAGAAAAGUGACGAAGAUGACGUAGGGUGGUGACUGUGUGAACAGACAAGAAAAGAUAUAUGUGAGAGAUAUGGAGAUGGAAAUUUCUACAUGGCCCCCCAGAAGAGAUCAGAGCUAAUUCUUGCUGCUCAGCACGCUAAGUCUGACUUCCUCAUGCAAACACCAUGGUAUCCUCACUACCAUUUCCACUCCACAGAUGGCUUUUGCCCAUUUUGCACUCUCAGGGGAUACAAUGGCUCACACCAAAUUACAUAGAUUUCCUUGUCUACUUACAUGGUGUGCUAUGCUUUGGCAAGAUGGCAUCCUCUCUGGACCAGGCUUUAGUGACUUGUUCAUUCCACAUAAUUGAGGUCACUGGGUUGCUUUGGCAGACACUCUAAAUUGCCCAGGGCUGCUGUGUACAUAGUUAAGGGUAUUGUGAACUCCAUCUCCACCCCUUAUGCCAAUUUGCUCUGGAGACAAGGCCACCAAGGCUUAUGGGAAAAUUAGAGCAGCAUGUCAUGAAAAUUUCUAUUUACAUUUUCAGUAAUCAUGUCUUAUAAAGGCAGUUCAACAAUUGAAAUACCCCAAGUAAUUCAUCCAGUUAGUAAACUCAGCCCAUUUGAAGUAUUUUCUCUUUUAAAGUCAAAGAACUUAAAUUUGCUACCUACUUUUGGUUAAGAAAGA
This is a long non-coding RNA of Monodelphis domestica (gray short-tailed opossum), 1897 nucleotides long. The record is from Ensembl. Lineage: Eukaryota; Metazoa; Chordata; Mammalia; Didelphimorphia; Didelphidae.